CUCCUCAAGAAUUAAUUUGAGGUAUAGCCUGCUCUAUGAAUUUAUUUAAAUGGCCGCGGUAUUCUGACCGUGCGAAGGUAGCAUAAUCAUUAGUCUUUUAAUUGAAGGCUGGUAUGAAUGGCUGGACGAGAAAAUUUCUGUCUCUGUUAUAAAUUUUGAAUUUGAUUUUUAAGUGAAAAAGCUUAAAUAUUUUUGGGGGACGAUAAGACCCUAUGGAUCUUUAUAAUGAUGAUUAAUAAAAAGUUUAGAAGUUACAGCUUUUUACUCUAAGUUAUUGGGUUGGGGCGACUGGAAGAAAAAAAUAUCUCUUCUUAAAAAUAAAUAUUAUUUAUAGAAUUAAAAAUGACCCUAAAUUUUGGUUUAGCAGAUCAAGUUACCCUAGGGAUAACAGCGUAAUCUUUUUGGAGAGUUCAUAUCGAUGAAAAGGUUUGCGACCUCGAUGUUGGAUUAAGAGAUCCUUGCGGCGCAACAGUUGCGGAGGAAAGUCUGUCACUUUUAAUCUU
This 503-nucleotide ribosomal RNA is filed under the name Triops cancriformis. Its description in RNAcentral is "partial 16S ribosomal RNA". It matches the Rfam family "Bacterial large subunit ribosomal RNA", at positions 1829 to 2595 of the family's 2925-position model. Lineage: Eukaryota; Metazoa; Arthropoda; Branchiopoda; Notostraca; Triopsidae. The record is from RNAcentral.